GAUGAACGCUAGCGGCAGGCCUAAUACAUGCAAGUCGGACGGGAUUCAGGAGCUUGCUUCUGAUGAGAGUGGCGCACGGGUGCGUAACACGUAUGUAACCUACCUUUAUCAGGGGGAUAGCCUCUCGAAAGAGAGAUUAAGCCCGCAUAAAAUCACAGCACAGCAUUGUGUAAUGAUCAAAUAUUUAUAGGAUAAAGAUGGGCAUGCGGAACAUUAGCUAGAUGGCGGGGUAACGGCCCACCAUGGCGACGAUGUUUAGGGGAUCUGAGAGGAUGGCCCCCCACACUGGUACGGAGACACGGACCAGACUCCUACGGGAGGCAGCAGUAAGGAAUAGUGGUCAAUGGGCGGAAGCCUGAACCAGCCAUGCCGCGUGCAGGAAGACGGCCCUACGGGUUGUAAACUGCUUUUAUACGGGAAUAAACCCAGAUACGUGUAUCUGGCUGAAUGUACUGUAAGAAUAAGGAUCGGCUAACUCCGUG
RNAcentral lists this ribosomal RNA (482 nucleotides) under uncultured bacterium. RNAcentral's name for it is "partial 16S ribosomal RNA". It matches the Rfam family "Bacterial small subunit ribosomal RNA", at positions 28 to 507 of the family's 1533-position model. The record is from RNAcentral.